ACAGCAUGGUAGAGUUCUGUGAGAGUGAUGAAGGAGAGGCAUGGUCCUUAGCUAGAGACAGAGGCGGAAACCAGUACCUCCGACAUGAAGAUGAACAAGCUCUUCUGGAUCAGAAUUCUCAAACUCCUCCUCCAAGCCCUUUCUCAGUGCAAGCUUUUAAUAAAGGGGCAAGUUGCAGUGCCCAAGGAUUUGAUUAUGGACUCGGAAAUAGCAAAGGUAGGUAUUUAAAAGUAAGUCUUUUACUUACCUAACUUCAAUAUUUUUUAUUACCUUCUCUUUUAUACACUUUUUAUUUGUGUUCACCCAGAAAUCUUUAUUAAAUUAAAAUUUGUUCAUGGAAAGCUAAUAAAAAAUGUUUACAAAG
RNAcentral lists this long non-coding RNA (364 nucleotides) under Homo sapiens (human). RNAcentral's name for it is "non-protein coding lnc-FBXL3-5:1". Lineage: Eukaryota; Metazoa; Chordata; Mammalia; Primates; Hominidae. The record is from RNAcentral.